RNAcentral lists this ribosomal RNA (333 nucleotides) under Triticum aestivum (bread wheat). RNAcentral describes it as "partial small subunit ribosomal RNA". Lineage: Eukaryota; Viridiplantae; Streptophyta; Magnoliopsida; Poales; Poaceae. The record is from RNAcentral.
GCCAAGAUGGUGGUGAAGUUAUUAGAUAGCCGUUGGGAGGUCAUUUACUUUGUUGCUGAGCACAACCACCCGUUGGUUGACAAACCAUCUUUGACUAAGUACCUGAGAUCACACCAAGGGAUACCACCAGAAGAAAAGGCUUUCCUCACAUAUCUCCAUAAUUGCAACUUGACAACAGGUCGUAUGAUGCACAUCAUGUCAGAUUACUAUGGGACAGAGCUGAUUGUUCCUUAUGGUACUAAACAUAUUUCAAACUUGAAGUCAGAAUUGAACAAGCAUGCCACGAAAGAAGGUGAUAUGAUUGAGACAGUUGCCUACUUUAAAGACCAGCAG